AUUGAACGCUGGCGGCAUGCCUUACACAUGCAAGUCGAACGGUAACGGGCCUUCGGGUGCCGACGAGUGGCGAACGGGUGCGUAAUACAUCGGAACGUGCCCGAUCGUGGGGGAUAACGAGGCGAAAGCUUUGCUAAUACCGCAUACGAUCUACGGAUGAAAGCAGGGGACCGCAAGGCCUUGCGCGGACGGAGCGGCCGAUGGCAGAUUAGGUAGUUGGUGGGAUAAAAGCUUACCAAGCCGACGAUCUGUAGCUGGUCUGAGAGGAUGAUCAGCCACACUGGGACUGAGACACGGCCCAGACUCCUACGGGAGGCAGCAGUGGGGAAUUUUGGACAAUGGGCGCAAGCCUGAUCCAGCCAUGCCGCGUGCAGGAUGAAGGCCUUCGGGUUGUAAACUGCGUUUGUACGGAACGAAAAGCCUUCUUUUAAUACAGGAGGGUCAUGACGGUACCGUAAGAAUAAGCACCGGCUAACUACGUG
RNAcentral lists this ribosomal RNA (482 nucleotides) under uncultured bacterium. RNAcentral describes it as "partial 16S ribosomal RNA". It matches the Rfam family "Bacterial small subunit ribosomal RNA", at positions 30 to 507 of the family's 1533-position model. The record is from RNAcentral.